This 290-nucleotide ribosomal RNA is filed under the name uncultured Bacteroides sp. Its description in RNAcentral is "partial 16S ribosomal RNA". It matches the Rfam family "Bacterial small subunit ribosomal RNA", at positions 56 to 339 of the family's 1533-position model. The record is from RNAcentral. Lineage: Bacteria; Pseudomonadati; Bacteroidota; Bacteroidia; Bacteroidales; Bacteroidaceae.
UGCAAGUCGAGGGGCAGCAUGGUCUUAGCUUGCUAAGGCCGAUGGCGACCGGCGCACGGGUGAGUAACACGUAUUCAACCUGCCUCAUACUCGGGGAUAGCCUUUCGAAAGAAAGAUUAAUACCCGAUAGUAUAGUAUUUCCGCAUGGUUUCACUAUUAAAGAAUUUCGGUUAUCGAUGGGGAUGCGUUCCAUUAGGUUGUUGGCGGGGUAACGGCCCACCAAGCCUUCGAUGGAUAGGGGUUCUGAGAGGAAGGUCCCCACAUUGGAACUGAGACACGGUCCAAACUCC